RNAcentral lists this ribosomal RNA (403 nucleotides) under uncultured bacterium. Its description in RNAcentral is "bacterial SSU rRNA". It matches the Rfam family "Bacterial small subunit ribosomal RNA", at positions 28 to 417 of the family's 1533-position model. The record is from RNAcentral.
GACGAACGCUGGCGGCGUGCCUAACACAUGCAAGUCGUGCGAGAAAGUUCCUUCGGGAGCGAGUAAAGCGGCGCACGGGUGAGUAACACGUAGGUAACCUGCCCCCCAGUCUGGAACAACUAGAGGAAACUCUAGCUAAUGCCGGAUGAGACCACGAUCCCCUUCGGGGGUUGCGGCCAAAGAUGGCCUCUACUUGUAAGCUAUCGCUGAGGGAUGGGCCUGCGGGCCAUUAGCUUGUGGUGAGGUAACGGCUCACCAAGGCUGUGAUGGCUAGCUGGUCUGAGAGGAUGACCAGCCACACUGGGACUGAGACACGGCCCAGACUCCUACGGAGGCAGCAGUGGGGAAUAUUGCGCAAUGGCGAAAGCCUGACGCAGCGACGCCGCGUGGGUGAUGAAGGCCU